This 435-nucleotide ribosomal RNA is filed under the name uncultured bacterium. RNAcentral describes it as "bacterial SSU rRNA". It matches the Rfam family "Bacterial small subunit ribosomal RNA", at positions 339 to 791 of the family's 1533-position model. The record is from RNAcentral.
GUACGGGAGGCAGCAGUGAGGAAUAUUGCCCAAUGGAGGGAACUCUGAGGCAGCAACGCCGCGUGGACGAUGACGGCCUUCGGGUUGUAAAGUCCUUUUCUGUGGGAAGAUGAUGACGGUACCACAGGAAUAAGUCCCGGCUAACUACGUGCCAGCAGCCGCGGUAAAACGUAGGGGGCGAGCGUUAUCCGGAUUUACUGGGCGUAAAGCGCGCGCAGGCGGCUGAUCAAGUUGGACGUGAAAGCUCCCGGCUUAACUGGGAGAGGUCGUUCGAGACUGGUCGGCUAGAGGCCAAGAGAGGAGAGCAGAAUUCCCGGUGUAGUGGUGGAAUGCGUAGAUAUCGGGAGGAAUACCAGUGGCGAAGGCGGCUCUCUGGCUUGGAACUGACGCUGAGGUGCGAAAGCGUGGGGAGCGAACGGGAUUAGAUACCCCGGU